AAAGUACGGUCCUGCAGAAGAAGCACCGGCUACUACGUGCCAGCAGCCGCGGUAAUACGUAGGGUGCGAGCGUUGUCCGGAAUUAUUGGGCGUAAAGAGCUUGUAGGCGGUUUGUCGCGUCUGCUGUGAAAAUCCGGGGCUCAACCCCGGACUUGCAGUGGGUACGGGCAGACUAGAGUGUGGUAGGGGAGACUGGAAUUCCUGGUGUAGCGGUGAAAUGCGCAGAUAUCAGGAGGAACACCGAUGGCGAAGGCAGGUCUNUGGCCCACUACUGACCCUAAAANNCAAACNCUUGGGGANCNAACAGUAUUAAAUNCCUUGUUAGUCCAGGGNCNAUUU
This 339-nucleotide ribosomal RNA is filed under the name uncultured bacterium. RNAcentral's name for it is "partial 16S ribosomal RNA". It matches the Rfam family "Bacterial small subunit ribosomal RNA", at positions 468 to 807 of the family's 1533-position model. The record is from RNAcentral.